GACCCUCGGCAAUGGAUAUCUCGGCUCUCGCGUCGAUGAAGAAUGUAGCAAAAUGCGAUACUUGGUGUGAAUUGCAGAAUCCCGUGAACCAUCGAGUCUUUGAACGCAAGUUGCACCCCAAGCCUUCUGGCCGAGGGCACGUCUGCAUGGGUGUCA
This 156-nucleotide ribosomal RNA is filed under the name Brassica rapa (field mustard). RNAcentral describes it as "rRNA 5_8S_rRNA". It matches the Rfam family "5.8S ribosomal RNA". From Rfam's summary of the family: 5.8S ribosomal RNA (5.8S rRNA) is a component of the large subunit of the eukaryotic ribosome. The record is from RNAcentral. Lineage: Eukaryota; Viridiplantae; Streptophyta; Magnoliopsida; Brassicales; Brassicaceae.